AUUAAUUACCAUAGCAACGGCCCCCAGGUGUUUGAGACCGACAGACACAGCUUCUGGAGGAUAACUUGUGAUUGGUUCAGAGAGGAUUGGUGGGAGGGCAUUGGAACUGCUCAGCGGUUUCAGCACAACGUGUUCAGCUGUGUUCAACAGAAGUUGGGGAGACGACACAAUGUUUUCCUAUGAGAUUUAAACUCAUUGUUUUUUCUAACAGGCCUGCAACGUUUUCACACUCUCAGGGAGUUGAUGUCCAGCCUGUUGCGGUCCUGACACCUUCGCCGCGAGUCUGACCCACGCAGGACUUCAGGAUUUUUUUUCUUGGCGCACCACAGGAUUGCGACUGCUGUGGUUGUUUUCUCUGCUACUCUUGGGUCUCUUGGCCCGUCUUCGCUUCCUCAGCCGGCCCAUCAGCAGUGCUCUCCUCUGGAGUUUCGGGUGAAUGGAUCUCUGCAGGGACU
Molecule: long non-coding RNA, 455 nt
Organism: Gambusia affinis (western mosquitofish)
Lineage: Eukaryota; Metazoa; Chordata; Actinopteri; Cyprinodontiformes; Poeciliidae
Exons: 3
Source: RefSeq, a predicted model, not a curated record